Molecule: ribosomal RNA, 304 nt
Filed under: uncultured bacterium
Lineage: Bacteria
Description: partial 16S ribosomal RNA
Rfam family: Bacterial small subunit ribosomal RNA
Source: RNAcentral
CAGCAGUAGCCGCGGGAAUACAGAGGGUGCGAGCGUUAAUCGGAUUUACUGGGCGUAAAGCGUGCGUAGGCGGCUUCUUAAGUCGGAUGUGAAAUCCCUGAGCUUAACUUAGGAAUUGCAUUCGAUACUGGGAAGCUAGAGUAUGGGAGAGGAUGGUAGAAUUCCAGGUGUAGCGGUGAAAUGCGUAGAGAUCUGGAGGAAUACCGAUGGCGAAGGCAGCCAUCUGGCCUAAUACUGACGCUGAGGUACGAAAGCAUGGGGAGCAAACAGGAUUAGAUACCCGGGUAGUCCCUGUCUCUUAUAC